Molecule: non-coding RNA, 32 nt
Filed under: Rattus norvegicus (Norway rat)
Lineage: Eukaryota; Metazoa; Chordata; Mammalia; Rodentia; Muridae
Source: RNAcentral
UGAGUGCCUGUCUUUUGCUAGGCAGCAUGCUU